This 439-nucleotide ribosomal RNA is filed under the name uncultured bacterium. Its description in RNAcentral is "partial 16S ribosomal RNA". It matches the Rfam family "Bacterial small subunit ribosomal RNA", at positions 339 to 795 of the family's 1533-position model. The record is from RNAcentral.
CUACGGGUCGCACCAGUGGGGAAUAUUGGACAAUGGGCGCAAGCCUGAUCCAGCAAUGCCGCGUGAGUGAUGAAGGCCCUAGGGUUGUAAAGCUCUUUUACCCGGGAAGAUAAUGACUGUACCGGGAGAAUAAGCCCCGGCUAACUCCGUGCCAGCAGCCGCGGUAAUACGGAGGGGGCUAGCGUUGUUCGGAAUUACUGGGCGUAAAGCGCACGUAGGCGGCUUUGUAAGUCAGAGGUGAAAGCCUGGAGCUCAACUCCAGAACUGCCUUUGAGACUGCAUCGCUUGAAUCCAGGAGAGGUCAGUGGAAUUCCGAGUGUAGAGGUGAAAUUCGUAGAUAUUCGGAAGGACACCAGUGGCGAAGGCGGCUGACUGGACUGGUAUUGACGCUGAGGUGCGAAAGCGUGGGGAGCAAACAGGAUUAGAUACCCUAGUAGUC